UCUACAUAGGUGUAAGGUCACGGUAAAAUUUGAAUUUACUAGAGGAAAUUUCCAUGUAGAU
This 61-nucleotide transfer RNA is filed under the name Cochlostyla marinduquensis. RNAcentral's name for it is "tRNA-Gln". The record is from RNAcentral. Lineage: Eukaryota; Metazoa; Mollusca; Gastropoda; Stylommatophora; Camaenidae.